RNAcentral lists this ribosomal RNA (492 nucleotides) under uncultured bacterium. Its description in RNAcentral is "bacterial SSU rRNA". It matches the Rfam family "Bacterial small subunit ribosomal RNA", at positions 25 to 518 of the family's 1533-position model. The record is from RNAcentral.
CAGGAUGAACGCUGGCGGCGUGCUUAACACAUGCAAGUCGAACGAAGCAACUGUUACGAUCCCUUCGGGGUGACGACUUGUGACUGAGUGGCGGACGGGUGAGUAACGCGUGGGUAACCUACCUGUACAGGGGGAUAACAGUUGGAAACGACUGCUAAUACCGCAUAAGCGCACAGCAUCGCAUGAUGCAGUGUGAAAAGUUUUUUCGGUAUAAGAUGGACCCGCGUCUGAUUAGCUAGUUGGUGAGGUAACGGCCCACCAAGGCGACGAUCAGUAGCCGACCUGAGAGGGUGACCGGCCACAUUGGGACUGAGACACGGCCCAAACUCCUACGGGAGGCAGCAGUGGGGAAUAUUGCACAAUGGGCGAAAGCCUGAUGCAGCCGACGCCGCGUGAGCGAAGAAGUAUUUCGGUAUGUAAAGCUCUAUCAGCAGGGAAGAUAAUGACGGUACCUGACUAAGAAGCACCGGCUAAAUACGUGCCAGCCGCCGC